GUUGGGUUUUUUCAUGGGUUUUUGUUUUGUUUAUUUCGAAUACUGAAAAAGUCCUUUGGGCUCUGUGGGGUUCCCCACGCUCACGGCUCCUUUCUCCCACACUCACUGCCCUUCUUCCCACAGCAAAUCUAUUUCAAGGACAGUACUUUUUAAAAUGAUUAAUGUUGAGUUCUCAACUAGCUCUGCAGAACUAGAGGAGCUGUUUGCAUCUGUCUGUGCGGAUGGAGUUUCUUUUAUCUGACACCAGGUCUCCAACCACACUGAAACAAGGCAUUUAUCUACAGAGCUCAACUAGAACCCCUUUUCAUUAGGCUACUCCACUUCCUUCCCCUCAUACCUACCCCACAUCAGCCACGUGGUUAAGAAGGAUAGUCAGGAAUGUUUUUACCAACUCCAAGCCCUAAUUCAUACUCCUCCAUAUCUCCCACCCCACCCUUUCAACCCCACCCCCACCCCCAGAAUUUCAUUGAUAUUUCUCCCAACUGUUAUUUGGAAAAAAGGUAAAACAAAAAAGGUUCAAGGUCUUGGUGCUCAGCCCAAGGGGCUCCAUGUGCUGGGACACCAACAGGAAAGGGCUUCUGCCUCUCCAGCCCACACCCGAGCCACCUCCUGACCCCUGGCUGCAAAAGCAGGAAGGGGCAGGAGCCAGCACAGGACCCGGGUGGGGCAGGGAGGGGAAGCGUCUCAGGAUCUGGCAGAGCCCCGGGCAGCAUCAUUCAACUUGGCCACCCGCAAGCUUGCUGGUGACGAGCGAGGACUUUCUCUGGGGCAGAUCCUGUGGGGUGGGGAUGUGAUCACCAGUCACCAGGUUCUUGUCUGGUCCUGCACUUGGCAGCUGCUUAUUCUUCAUCUUGGCUUUGGCCAUGUUGUAGUCUCCUGAGUCAAAGUACUUUUGCCCUUUCUGGAGUCUCUUCAUG
RNAcentral lists this long non-coding RNA (917 nucleotides) under Homo sapiens (human). RNAcentral's name for it is "LNC_000158". Lineage: Eukaryota; Metazoa; Chordata; Mammalia; Primates; Hominidae. The record is from RNAcentral.